RNAcentral lists this ribosomal RNA (441 nucleotides) under uncultured bacterium. Its description in RNAcentral is "partial 16S ribosomal RNA". It matches the Rfam family "Bacterial small subunit ribosomal RNA", at positions 338 to 795 of the family's 1533-position model. The record is from RNAcentral.
CCUACGGGAGGCAGUAGUGGGGAAUAUUGCACAAUGGGGGGAACCCUGAUGCAGCGACGCCGCGUGGGUGAAGGAGUAUUUCGGUAUGUAAAGCCCUAUCAGCAGGGAAGAACAAUGACGGUACCUGACUAAGAAGCACCGGCUAAAUACGUGCCAGCAGCCGCGGUAAUACGUAUGGUGCAAGCGUUAUCCGGAUUUACUGGGUGUAAAGGGAGCGCAGGCGGCGCGUUAAGCCUGGUGUGAAAGUCCGCGGCCCAACCGCGGGACUGCAUUGGGAACUGGCGCGCUGGAGUGCCGGAGGGGUAGGCGGAAUUCCUAGUGUAGCGGUGAAAUGCGUAGAUAUUAGGAGGAACACCAGUGGCGAAGGCGGCCUACUGGACGGUGACUGACGCUGAGGCUCGAAAGCAUGGGGAGCAAACAGGAUUAGAUACCCGGGUAGUC